AUACGGAGGAUGCGAGCGUUAUCCGGAUUUAUUGGGUUUAAAGGGUGCGUAGGCUGUGCGUUAAGUCAGGGGUGAAAUGCCGUCGCUCAACGACGGAGCUGCCCUUGAUACUGGCGUGCUGGAGUACGGAUGCCGUUGGAGGAAUGAGUGGUGUAGCGGUGAAAUGCUUAGAUAUCACUCAGAACACCGAUUGCGAAGGCAUCUGACGAAUCCGUCACUGACGCUGAGGCACGAAAGCGUGGGGAUAGAACAGGAUUAGAUCCCCUGGUAUUCCACGCCGUAAACGAUGAUGACUAACCGUCGGCGAUAGACAGCCGGUGGCCAAGCGAAAGCGAUAAGUCAUCCACCUGGGGAGUACGUCGGCAACGAUGAAACUCAAAUGAAUUGACGGGG
Molecule: ribosomal RNA, 393 nt
Filed under: uncultured bacterium
Lineage: Bacteria
Description: partial 16S ribosomal RNA
Rfam family: Bacterial small subunit ribosomal RNA
Source: RNAcentral